CUUGCGGGCAUUUUCCUUUUAAGGUGUUUUUCAGAUCACAUAGGUUGGGGACUGUUACUGUUAUAGUUAGCGCCUAAAGCAGGGAGUCUUAUUUAGACUGACCCACUGUAUAUCGUGGUGCCAGAACGCGCAGAGCAAGGUGGACCUGUUUUCUGCAGAUAGGGUGUGUGUGUAUCGGUGCCUGAAAUCCUGUUUACCUGCGUCAAUCAAACAAAUAGAAACUAAAACGCCAUGCACUUGUAUUCUGCUGCGACAAUUAUUCUGGUGUGCUUGCUAGCCGUACCGUUGACCCAUCAGCGCGGCAGAGAUGAAUUUAACGAGAAACCCGCGGCGGAUGCUAUUCAUACUAGAAAUGGGCGCCGUAGAUUGGUGUACAAUCAACACCAUGAAGAAAUAGCCGUUAAAGGUAUGGAUGUUAACU
Non-coding RNA from Ciona intestinalis (vase tunicate), 421 nucleotides. NCBI's taxonomy places the organism in Eukaryota, Metazoa, Chordata, Ascidiacea, Phlebobranchia, Cionidae. The record is from RefSeq and is a predicted model, not a curated record.